UCUCUCUCUCUCUCUCUCUCUCUCUCUCUCUCUCUCUCUCUCUCUCUCUCCCUCCCUCCUCCCCCCCCCCUCUCUCCUCCCUCUCCUCCUAGAGAAUUUGAUGCGACCAUGUCUAACCAAACCCACCGAUGAACAUCUCAAUCUCUUUUCCCUGAAUAUGGAAAUCUUUUAUCUGAACAAAACCACUAAAUACAGGUCAAAUUGCAGCUUUGGCAGUGGUUAGGCACUAGAAACUUGCAAACCAAAAGAGAAGUGUAGGUAGCAUCUAACAACCAUGGAGACAUUAUUAUAGAACUUUGCUAGGUGCACACUAGACAUACUUAAACAUAAUCUUAACAUCAAAAUCAAGGACCCUAGAGCCAUCCCAGAGCGGGGGGUCGGGUGUACUAAACUAGACCAAAUGGUUCAGUCGGUCAAUCCAGUCCCCCCUUUUUUUAUAAAAUACCCCUCCACCCUUCCGAUCCUCUCCCUCUAUCUCGACUCUUCUCUCUCUCCUCUCUCCCAAUCUCUUCAUUCCCCUCCCCCUCUCUCCCUCUCAAGAUUCUACUCUCCGGAGCUUCCUCUCCCCUUGCCUCUCUUUCGUGAUGCUCCGCCGCCACCGAUGACUAUGCUAUGACGAUAGCUCGUAAGUAUGCCUCUCCUUCCCUCUCUCCCUCUCCCUCCCGAUUCCACUCUCGGGAGCUUCCUCUCCCUCUCGAUGCUCCACCACCACCGACAACUCCAUGACAACAAUGGCUCCACAACGACAGCUGCUCCAUGGCGAUGAUGCGUAGGAUUACAGUUCUGUACCGUGACACCAAGGUACGUCCCUCUCACACCCCCCCUCCCCUCUCCCCCUUUCUCUCCCCCCCCCCACCUCCCCCUAUUUUUGGUACGCCUCAACUCAGUAAGGUAUGUAUUGGUACCAGGUUCAGCAACUCUUGAUUAAGAUAAAGUAGAACCAAUUUAAAAUUCUAAAACACAUUGUUACCAUGCUCAUACAUAGUGAGUUCUAUUUAUCAUAUACUUAGCUACCCUUUGUAUAAACAGGCACGGCUGCAAACUCGAGCAAAGAUGUCAUGACGAUAAAUAAAAUUUUCGGUUGCUUGCUGUAAAACAGACGCGGAAGCAAAAUAUGGCUAUGGAGAGAUUUCGAAAGAAGGUAUCACUUCAAAGUUCGGGCAAUUGAGAUCAUGUGAACAUUUGAUAAAGACUAUUCCAAUCAGAUUUAACCAGUUAGAUAGCUUGAGUAGAGUUAAAGGGCUACAAAAGUUGGUAGGUGGAUUAGGGAGGUCUGGUACAAUCAAAAAGUUAAUCUAUGGGUGGGAAUGGGUCAAGCAACAAGGAUCCACUAGUAGGUCAGUUGGCAUCAGUCUAGUACAUACAUCCAACCAUAUAACAUAACCUAUAUCUUACCCUUUCCACUACCACCCAUAAUCUACUGUCCAACGCAGUAUCUAACCUCUAAACUUGCAGCCACUCCUCCAUACCACUCUCAAAUAACAAAUCUAGUCAUCUUUUAUGAGUUCAUGCCUCUCAAUCUCUAACAUGUCAGCUCAAUCUCCCAUUCCUUCUCAAUCAUAGUUUUUUUCUAUAUCCCACUUUCUAGAAAAUUAAACUAGAUCAUGUAUAACUGAUACUAACAACUAAUUUCUCCACCCUUGACAAGCAUGAAUAGAAUGUGUGAUACCGCAAUCUAUAGGGGGCGUUUGGUAUGGGGUAAUCGUCCCAGGAUCAAGGGUGAUGUGGGUGGAGGUGAUGAGAUCACCGCGUUUGGUUGCACCAGGGUGAUCUUACGUAGCGGUGAUCCUAAAUCAUCUCCACUCCUCAAAUCACCGCCCAACCCGGUGAUGGGAUACCUGUCCUUGAGGUCGGAAAUGCAAGAUCACCCCAGGGCAGUGAUCCUGAGUUGAAAAUUAAAGACAAAAAAUACCCCUCAAUUUAGCAGAAAAAUUGAUAUAUCAAUAUAUCAUCAAUAUAUUAUGUCAAAGUUAUAUAUAUAUAUAUAAUAUUAUGUUGAUAUUAUAUAUUAUAUUAAUGAUAUAUAUUAUAUUAUAAUAUAUUACUAAUCAUAUUAUUAUCAUAUUAUUAUUGAAGGAUAAAUUUAAAUUAUAGUAGAAAUAUAUUAUUAUAUUUUAUACUUAUAUAAUAAAAAUAUUUAAUAUAUUACUCCUAUUUAUCUUAUUUUUAUAAUCAAAAUAAUUAUUU
Molecule: long non-coding RNA, 2187 nt
Filed under: Phoenix dactylifera (date palm)
Lineage: Eukaryota; Viridiplantae; Streptophyta; Magnoliopsida; Arecales; Arecaceae
Description: long non-coding RNA (PDAC_LNC013328)
Source: RNAcentral